UGUGCUGACUUUGGUGCUAGACUCUCUCC
Molecule: non-coding RNA, 29 nt
Filed under: Homo sapiens (human)
Lineage: Eukaryota; Metazoa; Chordata; Mammalia; Primates; Hominidae
Source: RNAcentral